ACUUGGUCCCUUCCCUACGAGGCCUCCUGCCGCAAAAAACCGAGGUUCAAAUGCUUGAGAAACGGACUCACGAGAUACCAGGGGGGUUGAAUUUAGCAGAAAUAAGGAGCCCUGGUUCAUCUGAAAACUAGCAGGAAGGGGACAGUGCUCUGGGGCCGCCCCCAUCCAUCCCUCUUGCUUCUUUCCUAGUCCCGCGUCUUCACCUCGGACCCCGGGGCACCGGCACUUUGGGCCGUCGGGGCAGUGGAGAACCGAAUACCGUGACGGGUCCCUUCCCGUCCCUAACCACUUCUCUCACUCACCGAAGUAGUCCUCCCUGGCCUCUGGCUCCCGCAUCCGGGCCCGGGCGGCCUCCGGAACGAAAGGACCUGGUGGCUCCUCCAGACCCGACGGCUCAAUCCCCGAGGGUUCUCCGCGGGCUCCGGCUUCUCGCCCACCGGUGCCCACCGUCAGGCGAAGCAAAGCUGUUAGCUCGUCCUGGUACCGGGCGCCCACGGCGCAGUCCCCGUAGCCGGUCACAGAGUGUCGUCCGGGUUGCGCCCCCCGUCUCUCCAAGGGCCCCGCCGCUCCCACUCCGGCCCCGGCUAGAGCUCCAGGGCUGCCCAGGGCCGGGGGAUACGAGUGGCGGCUUUCCUGGCAGCCGAACCCCGCGGGCCGCUGAGCGUACAAUCGGUCCAGGGCGGCGUGGAGCUCCGGGUAGGCGGACGGGACCCCUCCGGGAGAAUAGCCUGCCGGUGCUCCGGCCAGGGGUGGGCCAAACAGGCACGGCCCCGCUGGCAAGGGGCUCCCGUGGCGCUGGUCGUAGCCCAUGCUGAUGCCGCUGGUGCGAUUGCUGCAGGGCCGGCUACCUCCAGCUCCGCCAGCCCCCGCCCCGUCCAGCAGCAGGCUGCCCCGGGGGCUGGACGGCUUGCUCGCGUCGCUGGCCGAGCUACUGGCGAAGCUAGAGCGGGGGCUGAGGGCCGGGGCCGUGGGCUCCAGCCGAAAAUCGGGGGGCAACGACUGAGGUAGAGGCAAGGCCCGGGUGGGCGGCGGCCCCGCGGGAAAAGAGCCUUCGUAGCGCGGCGCCUCAAAGGAGCCGCGCUGAUUUCGCUCAGCGUCCAGGGAACCUUGCUCCCGGGCCGGCUCCAACGGCUCAUCCCCAGGUCCCCCAGUAGCUCCUCGGGGCCCUGACUUCCUAGGUCCCCCCAACCCACUUAGGCGCCCCUUGCCCGGCCCGGGGGUCCCGUCAGACCCAGACCGGCUAGAUUCACCCUUUCUGCGGCCGAACUUCUCCAGCAGGCGACUGGCUUUCUCUCCUAACCGCUCCAUGCCCUCGGGCCUGGGGCCUCUCGCCCCCUCCCCGCCUGGCACCCUGCGGCGUCUCGGCGGCCGGUUCUCUUUCCCUGCAGCCGGACUCUGGUUCCCCAGGGGCACAGGGGAGGCACAGGGGCUUAGCGGGCGGCCUGGAUGCCCUGCGCCAGGAAUCCCACAGCAUCCCCCAGCGGGAGGGGCUGCGUCCCCCCGCGCAUCUGGGGCUGAGCGGGGCUAGCAGGGUCUCUGGCCGCGGCUGUCCAGUCCGCAGGUCUAUCUGUUCACGCGUCGACUCGCCCGACUGCCCCACUCUCCCCGGCCCCCGCCCCCCUAGCUCUCACGCUAGCCACAGACCGAACUUCUCUCCCAAACUUUUGUCUGCCUGGCCGGAUCUACUUUCCUAGGGGGGCGGAGCGCGGUGUGUGCGAGAGCGCCGGGGGUGUCCGCGCAGGGAUAGCUGGUGUGCGUGCAGCGGAAGGCGCUAACUGCCCUGGAUGUGGAGACCCGCGGACUGGACGUGAGAGGCGGGCAGGGGCAGUUGGGGCAGCUGCCCCUACAACACUGAAGAAUUGGAAUAGGAAAGAGUGUGGGGGUAGGGGACGGGGACUCUUUGUCUGCAGUUGGAAUGCGCGGAGGGGCAUGGUGGAAUGUGUCGCGUCCCGGGACCGGACGACAGGAGGCAUGUUCUGCGCUAGCACCGUGACUUUGUUCCCAGCGUGGGGACUGUGGGAGAGAUGGAGAGAGACUGGUACAGAAAUGGUGAGACAAGGAGAGAGCCAUAAAGAGGAAGACAGAGAGAAAGAAGACAAAUGCAUAAAGAGGUUCAGAGACGUGUACGUAAAGAUAGCCCUGAAAGGCGACGAAGCCCACAGAGAGAGGUGGAAGAGGGAAGAGGUAGCGAAAGAAAGGGAGAGCUGAGGAGCAAAGAGGAGUGUGGACGAUGCAGAGACCGAAGGGUGCGCAGACAAAGGAAAGGACAAGCUUGUCCAGAGAGAAUGAGAGACAAACAGAUAAACUGCAAUAAAAAGGCACCACCUUCUGGACCCAAAAGUUUUGUGAUUUGUAAAAGCAGUGAAAAGGAGUCAGGAAAAUGGGACUAAUCUCUACUUUGAGAGGGAGGGAAAGAGAUAUAGUGUGUAUGUAGAAGCAGUGAAAAGGAGUGAGGAAAAGGUUUGGGACUAAUCUCUACCUUAAGGGUAGGACAGUUAGAGGGAUAGACACCCCCUGGUGUUGGGAAAUGAGAUUUUUCUCAUUUCAGGUGACUGUGGAGAUCGAAGGCCUGGUUUUAGGGCUAGCGAACACCUUCUCCCUUUGGUUUUGGUCCACAGAAGACUGGUGAUACAGAGUAAGUAUUAAGAGGAAGAAAAGAAAUGCCGUGUAGAGGAAAUUGCAAAUGAAAAUGAUCAGGAUGGAAAAGAGGCUGAUAUUGACUAUUUUAAAAGGAUCAAGAAUAAGGAAAAGAAACCCUGGCUGAAGCAGCCGGGCGCGGUGGCUCACGCCUGUAAUCCCACCACUUUGGGAGGCUGAGGCGGGCGGAUCACUUGAAGUCAAGAGUUCAGACCAGCCUGGCCAACAUGGUGAAGCCCUAUCUCUACUAAAAAUACAAAAAUUAGCCAGGCGUGGUGGCGCACGCCUAUAGUCCCAGCCACUCGAGAGGCUGAGGCGGGAGAAUCGCUUGAACCCGGGAGACAGAGGUUGCAGUGAGCCAAUAUCACGGCCACUGCACUCCAGCCUGGGCGACAGAGCAAGACUCCGUCUCAAAAAAAUUCUCAAAAAUAAAUAAUAAUUUUUUUUAAAGAAACCCUAGAUGAAGCUAAACAUACCUAAUUAAAUACCAGCCAACGGCCGGGAGCGGUGGCUCACGCCUGUAAUCCCAGCACUUUGGAAGGCAGAGGCGGCGGGAUCACGAGGUCAGGAGUUUGCAACCAGCCUGGCCAGUAUGGUGAAACCCCGUCUCUACUAAGAAUACAAAAAUUAGCCGGUGUGGUGGCGUGCACCUGUAGUCCCAGCUACUUGGGAGGCUGAGGCAGAAGAAUCGCGUGAACCCAGGAGGCGGAGGUUGCAGAGAGCCGAGAUUGUGCCAUUGCACUCAGGCCUGGGCGAUAGAGGGAGAUUCCGUCUCAAAAAAAUUUUUUAAAAACCAGCCAACUACUUUUGCCCAGACUAAAACAUCAGGGGCAAGGGGUGGAGGAAGUAGAAUGGAGAAGGAAAAUGACUCCUUUGUAUUUAGAUAGUAAAUGAGUAUGAAAAUUAUAUGCAAACAAGUCAUGCAUAUUAUUUUCAUCUCAACAUUUUGAACACCUUUUAUAAUCUUAGUGUAGCCUUAGGGAAUGUGGAAAGAAACGAGGUUAAUAUCUUUUGGGAAAUUAAUUUGUGCCAAACUAUUUGGCUUCUUCGUCCUAGUUGCAUUGUCUCCCUGACCUCAUCUCCCCUGAGAAUCAGCCUCUGUUUCCCUGGUCAAGGCCACGGCUUUUCUCUGAUCCUGAGGAGAGUUUCCUACCAGAGUGGAAGCAGGGAGGACUGAAAGCACUAGGAACAGAGGGGAGCUAUCGGAUUGCAUCUAGAACCUGCUGUGAGCAACAUCUUCAGAAUUAACCAUAAUGUGUUCCCUCCUUUCCUGUGUCCAGAUGAGGAAGGAGAACUUUGAUUCUUCCUUCCAAUUACAUCCAAAAUAUCCACACAACUACUAAUAUUUGGAAGCUUUGAUCCUUUGGGGUGAGGAUGCGAGAGGAAAUCUUAUGAAAUGUUGGGAGGCCAUUAAAGGAGGCCCAUGCAAGAGUUGGUGGUAGCAAUGGGCACAACUGGGAUGAACAGCCUGUGUUUUCAAGGGAUAACUGGAAGCAGAGAUGAGUGAAGGGGAAGAAGUAGAAGACGCAUAUGCUAAUAGGGCAUGCUCCAAUAGUGCUCAUGACCUCAGGUGGCCUCUCCACAGUCUAAACUGGAGCUGGGAUCUCCAAAGGCCCUCUUCGUUCCCAAGACUUUAAUUAUAAUCUGUAUAUGCAGGUGACUCCCUAAUCCAUAUUUCCAGCCCAGUCUUUCUUGGAAUUAAAAACUCAACUAACUACUAGCAUCUCCAAUGGCUGUCUCAGAAGCACCCAAUAUCCUAAACUGAUCUCAUCUUCUCUGCCUCAUGAAACUGGCUCCUCUAACAUUCUCUGAGUAAAUGGCACAAUCCUGUUAGCUGCUUAAACUAGAAAUCUGAGCGUCAACCCUAUGUCCUCCUUCUCCCUUAACCUCAAAUCCAACCAAGUCCUAUCAAUCACCAAGUUCUAUUAAUUCUGCUUCCUAAACAUCUUCCAAAUCUGUCCUCCCCUCAUCACCACUAUAUAUGUCAAGUCACCGUCUUUCCUCUCCGAAACCAAUGCAAAAGUCUCCUGGCCAAGGCUUGCUCCCUGCAAUCCAUCUUAUACCCUGAGGUCAAGUGAUUUUUUUCAGUACAGAAGCUUUACGACUUACAAUGGAGUUAUGUCUGAAUAAACCCAUCCAUUAUAAAUUGAAAAUAUCGUAAGGCAGAAGUGCUUCUUCAACUUCACCAUAUUUUCAGCUUAAAAUGGGUUUAUCUGAUAUAACUGCAUCAUAAGGUGAGGAGCAUACUGAAUCAUUUCGCACCAUCGUAAAGUUGAAAAAUCCUAAGUCGAACCAUCGUUGAGUUGGGGACUGCCUGUAGGCAAAACCUGUCGUUUUAUUUCCCUGCUAAAACAAACUUUCAAUGAUUUCUCACUGCCCUUGGGUUGAAGUCUGUACUCUGUAUUAUGAGGUCUGUCUCACUCUCCAGCCUCUCCUCUAGCAUUAUCCCUUCCCCAAAAGUCUGCAGUAGAACUGGACCUUGUCUGUACUCUCUCUUGCCCCUGGACUUUUGUACCUGCAGUUCCCUGUUUGGAACACUCUCUUAGCCUCCCCUUUCCUUCUGGUUAACUCUUCCCCAGUUUAGACAUUACACCCUCUCAGAAGAAGCCUUUCCAGACUGCAAGAGUAGGUUAGCUACCCCUGCUGUAUAUUGCCAUAGUGCACUACACUCCACCAUGGUCACCCUUAUCACAGUUCAUUUCAUUGCCUACUCCACUGCCUGGCUUCCUGACUAAACUAAAAAAAUCUCUGAACAGCAUCCAACCUUAUCAACAAUGUAUCCAUAGCACAGUACCUGACACCUAGUAAAGCGAUCAAUGUUUGUUAUAAGACUGAAUAAAUGUAAAGCCAUUUUUGCUUUUCAAUCCAUCCAAAAUGCACACCCCUUCCUCAAAAUACAGCUUGGCUGACAGGACCAAGAAACAGCUACAAAGCUGUGUAUUUUGCUUGGUCACAUAGUGAGAGAGAGGCUGCCGGUGAGACACGGGAACUCUUUAAGCCUUAAUUUCCUCAUCUGUAAGAUAGGAAUAGUAAAAUUUUCCUCAUGUAAUUCAAUAAACAAUAGCUAUUAUAUCAGGAACCCAAUUCCCCAAUAGUGAUAGAACUUGUGUUCCCUUGGUCAGAAGACUCAAGCUCAUGACUGAAACUGCCCACCAGGUGGCGGUAUUAACCUGCACUGGUCAUGUUCGGUUUCCACUGCAGAGCAAGACAAGUAGUCACAGGGAAGCAAAAGGUACAACCUGGGCUGCUUCCUCAGAGCUUUGGGUGGAACUGGGCAGGGGCAGAAACAACUCAGAGACAGGGCAUAUGUCAAGAAGGCCUCAUGUUUCUUGGACCCAUCCUCCUCAUUUUCUCAUCCCAGGCUUCUCCGAGAUACUGUUUAUGCUGAGGAAUAAGCAUAUUCUGGCUUACUGUUCACAGUGGAGGGAGUUUCUCCCCUUCUAGAUAAGUUUUUAUCCCACCAGUGUUCUGCUUCCCCAGUAGAGACUGUGUUAAGAAAAGAGGCAAAUUUGCUUUCUCAGACUGCACAGAGCAUCUCAUUAUUUUGUGAAGCCCCAUGGCCACCUAUUUCUGAGACAUGGGGCAUGGCGGAAGCCAGAGUUAUUCUUGGCUGUAGAUUUUAUUCAUCCUUUUCCACCUUGAUUUCAAUGAAUGAGUUCAAGUCAGGACAGCAGGUUUUGUGGGGUUGGUCAAAAGAUGGGGAGCCAGGUGCAUUCUCAUCCCCUCCCUCAUCUUCCUCUUCUUGGAAAUUAGGAUUGUAAAGUUCUGGUGGAAGGAGCUGGGCUUCAGCAGAAGGCAGUCUGUCUGAGGGAGGCCCAUACACACGGUUGGCUUUGGUGCCAUGCUUAGAGUUAGCAUCCAGGUGGUAGCAGAGCUCUGUGAGGCGCUGGGCCCGGAAACGGGGAGGGCGGGCCACCCACACACCUGGCUCGUUAAGACUGUCCUCUUCAUCUGACAUCAGUUCCUCUGUCACAUCAUUCCACAGACGUUGGUCCUCAGGUCCAAAAUGCCUCAUGAUACUGGAUCGGUUGGCAAAAAGCUAAGGCAGGAACCCAGGAGAUAGAUUAGGAAGGUAAACAUUCUAUGGAUUAGAUUUGGGGAAAAGGUUUGGUGGGGAAGGCUGUGUAAAAUCUGUGCCUAAGUGAACCCAGUCCCCAAGUCAGAUCUUAGCAUUGGCUCACUGUUCUUCUCUAUCUUCCUACAUUCCUGGCUCUCAACCCUAUUCUCAUAUGCCAUGUCCUCUGGCCCUUCCCACUUAGGAAAGGGUUUAGAGUUUAGUAUCUUGAAAGAAAGGCCUAGAAACCUACCCGAUAUCGGCGACUUCGAAGUUUCUUCUCCUCUUUUUCCUUCAGGCCUUUAAAGGGGUUCAGGGAGUUGCGGUACUCACGCCUCUUAGUAAGGAAGUAGGCCACACAGGCUCCUG
Molecule: long non-coding RNA, 7060 nt
Filed under: Homo sapiens (human)
Lineage: Eukaryota; Metazoa; Chordata; Mammalia; Primates; Hominidae
Description: HSALNT0375672
Source: RNAcentral